Molecule: non-coding RNA, 972 nt
Filed under: Rollulus rouloul (Crested partridge)
Lineage: Eukaryota; Metazoa; Chordata; Aves; Galliformes; Phasianidae
Description: 12S ribosomal RNA
Rfam family: Bacterial small subunit ribosomal RNA
Source: RNAcentral
AAAAGACUUAGUCCUAACCUUAUUAUUGGUUUCUGCUAGACUUAUACAUGCAAGUAUCCGCACUCCAGUGAAAAUGCCCCCUAACCCUUUCACCCUAAGCAAGAGGAGCAGGCAUCAGGCACACCAAAAAAUGGUAGCCCAAAACGCCUUGCUAAGCCACACCCCCACGGGUAUUCAGCAGUAAUUAACAUUAAGCAAUAAGUGUAAACUUGACUUAGCCAUAGCACCCUUAGGGUUGGUAAAUCUUGUGCCAGCCACCGCGGUCAUACAAGAAACCCAAAUCAAUAAUCAUCCGGCGUAAAGAGUGGCCACAUGUUAUCUACAUCCACUAAGAUCGAAAUGUGACCAAGCUGUCAUAAGCCCAAGACCCACCUAAGCUCAACCUAAAACAUCUUAGCUCGUAUGACCAAUUUCAAUCCACGAAAGCCAGGGCACAAACUGAGAUUAGAUACCCCACUAUGCCUGGCUAUAAAUCUUAAUACUUCCCCCACUCCCGUAUUCGCCCGAGAACUACGAGCACAAACGCUUAAAACUCUAAGGACUUGGCGGUGCCCCAAACCCACCUAGAGGAGCCUGUUCUAUAAUCGAUAAUCCACGAUCCACCCAACCACCCCUUGCCAAUACAGCCUACAUACCGCCGUCGCCAGCUCACCUUAAAUGAAAGAUCAACAGUGAGCUCAAUAGUUUUACCCACUAACAAGACAGGUCAAGGUAUAGCCCAUGGGUUGGAAGAAAUGGGCUACAUUUUCUAACAUAGAACAUACGAAAAAGAACGUGAAAUCGUCCUUAGAAGGCGGAUUUAGCAGUAAGAUGUAAACCAUAUCCAAGUUCACCUUAAGCUGGCCCUGAGGCACGUACAUACCGCCCGUCACCCUCUUCACAGGCCAUCAUCAUUAAUAAAUAAUGCCUUACAGGCCAAAAGACGAGGCAAGUCGUAACAAGGUAAGUGUACCGGAAGGUGCACUUAGACUA